Long non-coding RNA from Manis pentadactyla (Chinese pangolin), 1205 nucleotides. RefSeq lists it as uncharacterized. The record is from RefSeq and is a predicted model, not a curated record. The transcript has 2 exons. Lineage: Eukaryota; Metazoa; Chordata; Mammalia; Pholidota; Manidae.
ACUAGUAAACACAAGUGUUUCUCUAAGUUCUAUGAGAAACUUAGGGGGUCCUGAGAACACUGAUUCAUAGGUAAGUAGUCAGAAUUCCAGGAAACAGCUGGCACUGUGAUGGGCAUCUGGUGCAGGGAGACAGUCUCAUGGGACAUAACUUGCAGAGCCUGAUACCAGCUCCAUAAAGAUAGUGUCAGAACUGACUUGAAUGGUAGGACAUCCAGCUGGUGUCAGAUAAUUGGCUGGUAUGGGAAGAACCCACACAUUUGGUAUUGGAAUUGUUGUUAGUAGAGAUGUAACAGAGUUUUUCCUUAUACGUAUGGCAUCCUCACAUCUGUGGAGGCUUACUCCACACUUCCUAAGCUAUUUUAAGGAAAAUCAUAACAAAGCCCAACCCCAAAAUCAAAUCUCAACAUCCACACAGUAUUGCAUCUAUUUCCUUAAGUGGAUGAGUCGUCCUGUUCACAUUGUGUUUUCAUAACUCCACCCCCACCAGAUCUCAUGAAGAGAAGCAUCCAGCUGCAUGAAGCACAAGAGAAUUCUCGGGACACACGGGCAUGCUGGCCCCUGACUGCCCACCCUUCCCUUAUGUUACAGGAGGCAGUGCCUGGGAUGCUGGGACUUCACUGUGUCCAGCCAGGGUCCCCAGCCACCACUGAGUCAGAGACGUGACUCUGAGUGACCCCGCUGAGCCUCAGGACUCUCAGCUGCAAAACAGAGACCAGAGACCCCAUCACAGGCUUGUCGGGCUGAGUGGGAGAAUCCUUUCACUCAAGAAAGUCUCAAGGCCUGACCAUGAUCAUAAUGAGAGACUUGCCCCUUCAGCAUUGCUUCCAAGUGGGAGCAGAAUUCCUGGCUCCAAGGAGGCAGCCACGACAUAAGAAAGGAGGUGAAGAUGUGUUCAGUGUGACCCUGUGUGUCCCGGCAUGUUCCAAGACAGUCUUACCCUUUCUAAAGGGUAUCAUCACAUAUGAUCAGAUAGACAGUAGACUCAGGAGAGCCUGAGGCCAGGUUCAGGAGUUCAGAGCAGAGCCCCAGCUCGGCCCUCAGCAGCUUCCAGCCUGCACACUACCAGGUGCUGGUCAGUGGAGUGGACACAGUGGCCAGACUGUGAACUCCUUGAAGGCAGGGUUUCUUUCUCUACUUCUUGGUAUCCACAGAGACUAGCAUAAUGUCUACAAUGUAAUGGAUGGUCAGUAAACAUUUAAAUAUUU